AUUGAACGCUGGCGGAAUGCUUUACACGUGCAAGUCGAACGGCAGCACGGGGGCAACCCUGGUGGCGAGUGGCGAACGGGUGAGUAAUACAUCGGAACGUGCCCAGUCGUGGGGGAUAACGUAGCGAAAGUUACGCUAAUACCGCAUACGAUCUUCGGAUGAAAGCGGGGGACCGUAAGGCCUCGCGCGAUUGGAGCGGCCGAUGUCAGAUUAGGUAGUUGGUGAGGUAAAGGCUCACCAAGCCGACGAUCUGUAGCUGGUCUGAGAGGACGACCAGCCACACUGGGACUGGGACACGGCCCAGACUCCUACGGGAGGCAGCAGUGGGGAAUUUUGGACAAUGGGCGCAAGCCUGAUCCAGCCAUUCCGCGUGCAGGACGAAGGCCUUCGGGUUGUAGACUGCUUUUGUACGGAACGAAAAGGCUCUGGUUAAUACCUGGGGCUCAUGACGGUACCGUAAGAAUAAGCACCGGCUAACUACGUGCCAGCAGCCGCCGCAG
This 500-nucleotide ribosomal RNA is filed under the name uncultured bacterium. Its description in RNAcentral is "partial 16S ribosomal RNA". It matches the Rfam family "Bacterial small subunit ribosomal RNA", at positions 30 to 523 of the family's 1533-position model. The record is from RNAcentral.